CAGCCGCCGCGGUAAUACGUAGGGUGCGAGCGUUAAUCGGAUUUACUGGGCGUAAAGCGUGCGCAGGCGGCCCGUUAAGACAGGUGUGAAAUCCCUGGGCUCAACCUAGGAAUUGCGCUUGUGACUGGCGGGCUCGAGUACGGGAGAGGGGGGUGGAAUUCCUGGUGUAGCAGUGAAAUGCGUAGAGAUCAGGAGGAACACCGAUGGCGAAGGCAGCCCCCUGGGCCUGUACUGACGCUCAUGCACGAAAGCGUGGGGAGCAAACAGGAUUAGAUACCCUGGUAGUCACCGCCCUAAACGAUGGGUACUAGCCGUUUGGUGCGCGAUAGCGCUGAGUGGCGAAGCUAACGCGUGAAGUACCCCGCCUGGGGAGUACGGCCGCAAGGUUGAAACUUAAAGGAAUUGGCGGG
Molecule: ribosomal RNA, 410 nt
Filed under: uncultured microorganism
Description: bacterial SSU rRNA
Rfam family: Bacterial small subunit ribosomal RNA
Source: RNAcentral